Molecule: long non-coding RNA, 250 nt
Filed under: Monodelphis domestica (gray short-tailed opossum)
Lineage: Eukaryota; Metazoa; Chordata; Mammalia; Didelphimorphia; Didelphidae
Description: lncRNA (ENSMODG00000035509.2)
Source: RNAcentral
GCCAGGCACUGGACUAAGUUCUGUGAAUAGAGAGAAAGGCAAGACAGAUUCAGUGGGAGAGACAGCAUUGAAGCCAUCAUGUACAAACAAGCCAUCUAUGGGAUAAACUGGAAAUAAUCAACAGAGAGAAGGCACAAGAAAUAAGAGGGAAGGAAAUUUAGGGAGAAGCUGGGCUAAGCAAGAUAACCUGAUGGAAUGUGGGACUAGUUGCUUCAACUUCGUGAUGGAGUGGAAAGAGCUGUGGGUUUGA